UAUGUAACGAAAAAUAUAAUUAUGACGAAUGUAGUUUUUAAAAAAAAUUGUUAAUUGUUUAACAAUUUUUUAAAUUAUAUUUUAUUGCCAUUGAAUAUUAAUAUUAAUUGUUUGGUUAUUUCAGAACAAAAUUAUGGCAUACCAGCUGCACCAAUUCCAGUGACAACUAUGGAAAUGAUGAGGCGAAACCAAGAAAAUGAUUAUGACAUACCACCUGCACCAAUUCCGGUCACCACAACUAUGGAGAUCAUAAGGCAAAACCAAGCACAUAACAUAUUUCCUACACAAUAUGAAAACGCAAAAACGAUGAUGAUGCGCACCCAGAUGGUUUUACAACUCUUACGACAAAUCAAAAUUGA
Metopolophium dirhodum (rose-grain aphid) is the source of this 359-nucleotide long non-coding RNA. RefSeq lists it as uncharacterized. NCBI's taxonomy places the organism in Eukaryota, Metazoa, Arthropoda, Insecta, Hemiptera, Aphididae. The transcript is spliced from 3 exons. The record is from RefSeq and is a predicted model, not a curated record.